This 309-nucleotide ribosomal RNA is filed under the name uncultured eukaryote. Its description in RNAcentral is "partial large subunit ribosomal RNA". The record is from RNAcentral.
ACCGAGCCGGUCACGCGAAAGUUAUAGGUACGAUCGGACUUGGCAUCAAUAUCGACCGUGGUCUGAUCAAAAACCGCGGGCGCCAUCUGCGAAGCCACGAGACGCUGCCAGAUGAGCUUGUAAACCUUGAACUCAUCGUCUUUCAAGAACGGCUUCAGGUUAUCGGGCGUCCGGGCAACAGAGGACGGACGAAUCGCUUCGUGUGCGCCUGCGCAUCCUUCUUCUGCUUGAACUGGUUGGGUGACUCCGGCAAGAAUUCUUCGCCGUAUGUGCUGCCUACCAAUUCGCGCACCUCGGUCAACGCGGUCG